UCACUCUAGUCUGUGCUCUUGAUAAAUCAAGAGUCUCUUGGUUUGGCGUUGGGCUUAGCACCUAUCAAUCUAUACAAGCAUGCGUCACUUCGUGGUCUUGGCCGCUCUGGUGUUGGCUGUCUGCGUCCUGGCCCCGUCACACGCCCACCGUCCCUAUGGUGGCUAUGGCUAUGGCAGCCGCCCUGGCUAUGGAGGCGCCGACUUCAAUCCCGGAUUUGCUGAUGGCAACGGAUUUGCAGGCGUCGUUGACAUUAGAGGCAACCGCGGCUUUGAAGAAACUGCUGCCAACGGCUUCGGAGGACUUGGAGGAAUAGGCGUCGGGGUUCUCGGAGGACAAGUUGCUGGUGGCUUUGGAGGCGCCGACGGAGGCCUUGGAGGAAGGCUUAGCGAUGGCCAAGAAGGCUGUAAGUACUGGUGCCUUAAGAAGUACAAGGGCGAGUACACUUGUUGCUCCCCCUCAUGAGACUACGAAGAACCACCUGGAAGCUUCUGGAGCUCUCUUCGAUGACGAUGCCGUCGGAGAGCCGUUCCGCCUCGCCACGCUCUUCAUUCACGCGAUCGAUUGAUCUGAAUACAUUUGAUAUAACGAUGUAUUCAGUGAUUUAACGAUGUAAACAGUUAUAUAAUGAUGUAUACAAUAAUAUAACGAUGCGUACGAUGAUAAAAGUAUGUGUGUAAUGAUAAAAUAAUGUAUAUAAUGAUAUAACGAUAUACAAUGAUUUAACGAUGUAUUAAAUGAUGUGACGAUGUAUAUAAUGAUAUAACGAUGUAUACAAUGACAGAACGAUGUAUAUAAUGGGUGUUAUGCCACAUUCAGUGUAUAUAAUCAUACACAUUCAAUGGGUAAAUUUAAAAAAAAUUACUCUUGUUUGCAAUGUAUAUAGUAUUUAAGAUCGUUUAUCAAAUAUUUGCAAUAAUGUAUUGCAAAAUUUAGUUUAAUAAAUUUAUUUUCACUGCACCAUUAUACAAUCUGUUAAUAGAUUAUCAGAAUAAAAAAACUCUUCAGGCAGUAUUACGAUAUUUUUUGGUCUCAAGUGUUAGAAUAAAUAAAAAUUCUCAUACAAUUAUUUUGUCUCACGCUAACAAUCAUUUUCUUUCGUACAUGAAGAUAAUAAAAUAGUUUAACAUCAGUAGGCAAACACGAUCAAAUUGAGAAAGCAUUUAAUCAAGUGGGUAGUAUGUAAUAUUGAAGAAUUUGUUAAAAUUUGCUGAACAUUA
Long non-coding RNA from Procambarus clarkii (red swamp crayfish), 1218 nucleotides. RefSeq lists it as uncharacterized. NCBI's taxonomy places the organism in Eukaryota, Metazoa, Arthropoda, Malacostraca, Decapoda, Cambaridae. The record is from RefSeq and is a predicted model, not a curated record.